RNAcentral lists this ribosomal RNA (228 nucleotides) under Escherichia coli. RNAcentral's name for it is "partial 23S ribosomal RNA". It matches the Rfam family "Bacterial large subunit ribosomal RNA", at positions 1 to 229 of the family's 2925-position model. The record is from RNAcentral. RNAcentral also lists the same sequence under 1 other name. Lineage: Bacteria; Pseudomonadati; Pseudomonadota; Gammaproteobacteria; Enterobacterales; Enterobacteriaceae.
GGUUAAGCGACUAAGCGUACACGGUGGAUGCCCUGGCAGUCAGAGGCGAUGAAGGACGUGCUAAUCUGCGAUAAGCGUCGGUAAGGUGAUAUGAACCGUUAUAACCGGCGAUUUCCGAAUGGGGAAACCCAGUGUGAUUCGUCACACUAUCAUUAACUGAAUCCAUAGGUUAAUGAGGCGAACCGGGGGAACUGAAACAUCUAAGUACCCCGAGGAAAAGAAAUCAAC